This 506-nucleotide ribosomal RNA is filed under the name uncultured bacterium. RNAcentral describes it as "partial 16S ribosomal RNA". It matches the Rfam family "Bacterial small subunit ribosomal RNA", at positions 29 to 523 of the family's 1533-position model. The record is from RNAcentral.
AUUGAACGCUGGCGGCAGGCCUAACACAUGCAAGUCGGACGGUAGCACAGAGGAGCUUGCUCCUCGGGUGACGAGUGGCGGACGGGUGAGUAAUGUCUGGGGAUCUGCCCGAUAGAGGGGGAUAACCACUGGAAACGGUGGCUAAUACCGCAUAACGUCGCAAGACCAAAGAGGGGGACCUUCGGGCCUCUCACUAUCGGAUGAACCCAGAUGGGAUUAGCUAGUAGGCGGGGUAACGGCCCACCUAGGCGACGAUCCCUAGCUGGUCUGAGAGGAAGACCAGCCACACGGGAACUGAGACACGGGCCAAACUCCUAGGGGAGGCAGCAGUGGGGAAUAUUGCACAAGGGGCGCAAGCCUGAUGCAGCCAUGCCGCGUGUAUGAAGAAGGCCUUCGGGUUGUAAAGUACUUUCGGCGGGGAGGAAGGCGAUGUGGUUAAUAACCGCAUUGAUUGACGUUACCCGCAGAAGAAGCACCGGCUAACUCCGUGCCAGCAGCCGCCGUAA